ACCAAUCCUAGGGGACCGAGGUGGGUGGGAAAGAAGAGAUAACAGAAUUUUAUCCCUUACAGGCACGAGGAAGGUUAAACCUUUAACUGAUAUGCCCGCCUCCACCCAUGCCCAGACUCAAUGAGUUGCAAUGAACAUACACACACACACACCCCUGCCAAGUAGCCAGGGCCUUCUGGCCUGUGCUGUCGGGAUCGGAAUGAGGAUUGGGGAGAGGUAGGAAACGGAACCUUGGGCACCCGCAAGAGCAUUGAGCAGGGAGUUUCUAGCAAGCUGCAGCAAAGGAACUUUCCUGACACUUGGCAAGGGCACCUGAAGGGUCUCUGCAGUGCCCCAGCUGUGCAGAACGCAAGCUUCUCCUUAAUCUGGUUGGGAGCAGUAGGAGUCAAGUUGUCCAAGGCCCCUUGAUUUUGAUGAAUGUAGGAUACAAUGAGAAGCAGCAGAAAUCGCAAUAUAGCCCCAUCAAUGUGGAUGGUACUUUGCAGCACAUAAGCAGAUCCCUGCGCUAAGGAAUUUACAGAUCUCUGCAAUUCAAGAGGAAGAGGAGGAAGGCAACAGAGGGGACGCAAAAUAGCAAGAGAAGACUAUGCACAAAUGCUGUGACACAUAGGCAUGCAGUGCACUUCCAUGCGUCAGAAGCAGCCAGCCAGAUGUCUCUGGAAGUUCACAAGAAGGAGGGCUUGAUGGCAAUGACACUGCCCUGUGUUGUUUACUCCAGUCCCUGGCACUCAUAGGAAAAUGGCUUCUGAACAUGGAGUUCUAUUGCACUCUGCUUGGAAAAGGCAGAACCCACAGGUUUGUAGUCUCUGGUUAAAAGAUCCCAAGACACACAUCAGUAAUGCACGUGUUGUAACUCACACCAAUUGUUCAGUUAACAAUUUAUUCACAAGUUUCACACAAAGAAGUUUCAGUUGGGGGUGGGGUGGAAUUGGGUGGCACUGUUUUCUAGCGGUUCCGUUCCUAUCUCUCUGGUAGGGGUGUGCAUGGAACCGUCUGCGGUGGUUCGGUUUGAGUUCAGUUCGAAGCUGGUCCGUGAACUGGUUCAUUAAGGAGCAUUGGUGGGGGCCUAAAGGGGCUGCCGCCACUGAAGAGCCACCGGUAUGUUGCCGGCAGUAAGUCCACCCCACCGCCUGCCCCUUGAACCCCUUGAGAGUUAGGGAUUCCCUUUCCUUGUAAAGGGGAGUCCUUACUGGAUCUCCCUUUACAAGCGUAGCCAAAGUGAUUGAACUGAGCCAAACCAGUUCAAUCUGAACUGGGCCCCGUUUGGUUCAAACUCAGACUGGCUCCCUUUUUGUGGGGGCUGGUCCAGUUCAAGCUUGAACCGGUCGAACUGGGCCAGUUCAAAUACAAUCAGAUCCAAUUUGAACCUGUUCUACACACUCCUACUCUGGUAGCUUCCAGAUGGUGUCGCUUGGAGACUGUUGCUCUGCAAAGCGAGAACUAAAGUAUGGAGUUCCACAAGACUCCAUACUUUCUCCAGUGCUCUUUAACAUCUACAUGCAACUGCUGGGAGAGAUCAUCAGGAGAUUUAGAGCAGGGUAUUAUCAAUAUGCUGAUGACACCCAAAUUUAUUUCUCCAUAUUGACCUCAUCAGGAAAUGGCAUAACAUCCCUAAUGCCUGCCUGGAGGCAGCACUGGGUUGGAUGAGGGAUAACAAACUGCAAUUGAAUCAAAAUAAGACAGGUACUUUUUGGGGUGGGGGGGUCAGGACCCAAGAGAUGGUUUAGAUCUGCCUAUUAUGGAUGGGGUUACAAUAUCCCUGAAAGAUCAGGUAUGUAGCUUGGGAGUGACCCUGGAUCCCAAACUCACUCUGGUUUCUUAGGUUGAGGCAGUGGCCAGGAGCACUUUAUAUCAGCUUUGGCUGAUACGUUGGCUACGUCCAUUUCUGGAGGUAAAUGACCUUAAAUUAGUGAUGCAUAUGCUGGUAACCGCCAGGCUCGACUACUGUAAUGCACGCUCCGUGGGCCUGCCUUUGUAUGUAGUCCAGAAACUACAGUUGGUACAGAAUGCAGCAGCCAGAUUGGUCUCUGGGACAACCUGAAGGGACCAAAUAACACCAAUUUUAAAAUAAUUGCACUGGCUGCCUAUGAUUCUGAGGGAAAUUCAAAGAGCUGGUUAUUACCUAAUAAUAAUAAUGGCUUGGGUCCAGGGUAAUUAAGAGCGUGCCUUGCCACCUAUUAAGAUUAUCUGGGGAAGUCCAGUUAUGAUUGCCACUGGCUUGUUUGGUAGUGACUUGGGACCAGGCCUGUGGCUCCCCAGGGCUUUGGAAUAUGCUGCCUGUCCGAAUAAGAGCAUCUCCAUCUCUGACUGCUUUUAGGAAAACCCUCAAGACACACCUGUAUUCUCAGGCUUUUAACUGAAAUUAGUUUUAAACUGUUUGAUUGUUUUUAUCCUGUGAAAUUGUUCUAACUUGUUUAUUCUGUGAAAUUGUUUUAAUUGUUUUUAGUCUAUUUUAUAUUUGUUGUUUUAAAUAGUGUACACCACCUAGAGAUACACAUAUCAGGCGGUAUAUAAAUAUGAUGAAUAAAUAAACUCCCUUCAUCA
Molecule: long non-coding RNA, 2544 nt
Organism: Hemicordylus capensis (graceful crag lizard)
Lineage: Eukaryota; Metazoa; Chordata; Lepidosauria; Squamata; Cordylidae
Exons: 3
Source: RefSeq, a predicted model, not a curated record